Molecule: ribosomal RNA, 492 nt
Filed under: uncultured bacterium
Lineage: Bacteria
Description: partial 16S ribosomal RNA
Rfam family: Bacterial small subunit ribosomal RNA
Source: RNAcentral
AGUGAACGCUGGCGGUAGGCCUAACACAUGCAAGUCGAACGGCAGCACAGUAAGAGCUUGCUCUUACGGGUGGCGAGUGGCGGACGGGUGAGGAAUACAUCGGAAUCUACUUUUUCGUGGGGGAUAACGUAGGGAAACUUACGCUAAUACCGCAUACGACCUACGGGUGAAAGCAGGGGAUCUUCAGACCUUGCGCGAUUGAAUGAGCCGAUGUCGGAUUAGCUAGUUGGCGGGGUAAAGGCCCACCAAGGCGACGAUCCGCAGCUGGUCUGAGAGGAUGAUCAGCCACACUGGAACUGAGACACGGUCCAGACUCCUACGGGAGGCAGCAGUGGGGAAUAUUGGACAAUGGGCGCAAGCCUGAUCCAGCCAUACCGCGUGGGUGAAGAAGGCCUUCGGGUUGUAAAGCCCUUUUGUUGGGAAAGAAAAGCAGCAGGUUAAUACCCCGCUGUUCUGACGGUACCCAAAGAAUAAGCACCGGCUAACUUCGUG